GAACAUUAGUCGGGGUGCUGUUAAGCUGAGAUGAUACCCGUGAACCUGAUACAGUUAAUACUGACGUAGGAAACUAACAAUGCAAAAUA
Avibacterium paragallinarum JF4211 is the source of this 89-nucleotide non-coding RNA. NCBI's taxonomy places the organism in Bacteria, Pseudomonadati, Pseudomonadota, Gammaproteobacteria, Pasteurellales, Pasteurellaceae. The record is from Rfam.